RNAcentral lists this long non-coding RNA (770 nucleotides) under Selaginella moellendorffii. RNAcentral describes it as "long non-coding RNA (SMOE_LNC001026)". Lineage: Eukaryota; Viridiplantae; Streptophyta; Lycopodiopsida; Selaginellales; Selaginellaceae. The record is from RNAcentral.
ACGAGGACUGAUCAAGGCGGUGGUGCUGUUUUGGCAACGUAAGCUCUGUUAACAAAAGGUUGGUUUUGAUGAAAGAAACUUGCAAAAAAGAAAGCUCACCUCCUCCUGUGCUGCAUUGCUCAUUCAAGUUUGUUCCUCGGAUCGGUUUCUCUCAAGCAGGCCAACGGAAUGGAGGUUGUAGUCCGUCGACUGGGAUGAUCGUUGUUCUUGGUAGCUCCCUCGGUGAGACAAACAAAAGUUUUAGUUCUUUACACCUUCUAGCAGCCUGAGCGCAACCACGUGUCCGCGCCACUUGUCAAGAGCACAACCACAUUAUACUUGCUCAAAUCGCCUGAGAGAACAAGUUUUAGCAUUGCAAGAAAGAAAGAAAUAAAGAUGGGAUCCUCACCAGCGGUUUCCAAUGCCGUGUUCAAGGAGAUUUCUCGCAGAGCCGUCCCCAUCUCCCUCCACAAUCCAGCUCGUGAUCUUGCGCCUCUCAUCGAACGCAUCGCCAAGGCCAAGGUGGUGAUGCUCGGCGAGGCCACGCACGGGACGCGCGAGUUCUACGAGUGGCGUCGCAUCAUCUCCGAGAUCCUCAUUGCCAACCACGGCUUCACCACCCUCAGCAUCGAAGGCGACUGGCCACCGUGCCAAGAAGUCAACCGCUUCAUCACCAAAAAGGUGAGUUCUUCCGCUAGUGCCGAGGAGCUCCUUGCAAAGUCAUUCAGGCGAUGGCCGACUUGGAUGUGGGCCAACGACGAGUUCCGGGCGAUGGUGGAGUGGAUGAAGGA